This 61-nucleotide transfer RNA is filed under the name Ledra auditura. RNAcentral describes it as "tRNA-Ser". RNAcentral also lists the same sequence under 1 other name. Lineage: Eukaryota; Metazoa; Arthropoda; Insecta; Hemiptera; Cicadellidae. The record is from RNAcentral.
AGGGUAUUAAAUUUUUUGGCUGCUAACCAAUAAUAAGCGGUUAAUUUUCCGUUAUUCCCUU